This 1312-nucleotide long non-coding RNA is filed under the name Sus scrofa (pig). RNAcentral describes it as "lncRNA (ENSSSCG00015077490.1)". The record is from RNAcentral. Lineage: Eukaryota; Metazoa; Chordata; Mammalia; Artiodactyla; Suidae.
CAGAGGUGACCUGGGUUUGUCAACGUGCGUUACGGUCCCAGAACUGUGCAUCAAAGCAGACCCUCUGGGGAAUCGUACACAUGUAAAUUAGAAGUUCAACCCCUGAAGAAGUUUUAAGAAAUAAUUACCACCAUUCCACCUCUACUCUAUCCGAGUUCCACCUUGAUCGAGUGAUAAGUCCAAGAAAGUCCAAGAAAUACAGAAAGGUGAUUUCCCGUGUUAUUGGAUCCCCAGGAAGCAGUUAUUAGGUACCGAAUUGCCUAUGGUUCUAAGCACUGUAGAGAGAGAACUGCAUAGAAGUCUCUUCCUCUCCCCUCUCUCUGUUUUCAAGACCUUACCUUGUAAGGCAGACAUCACUUACCUGGACAAACAGGUUCAGGACACAGCGACGGCAGGUGGGAACUUGAAAACAUACCGGCGGUUGGCCACUGAAGCACUCACCUGGUCAGCAUCAGUGCAUUUUCGGCGUGAGAAGCCAGGAGAAAAGUACACGAGGCUGAGUAGCUGGGCUGACUGGGGACAGAGGUCCCACCCAUCUCAAGAUACCUGCACUGAAGCAGCGUGGUCCCCGAAGCAUUACCCACCUCAUAGAAUGAGGCUGGCACAGGCCUGAGGGAGCAGCAUGAUGAAGACCAGACAGCGAGAAACCUGCUGUAACACCAGAACUGGAGUUUCAAAACCCUCGGUUGCUCAGACCAUUUCUCUUGACCCCUAUCCAGGGGAGUUUCAUUCCACAGAGAAGUCAAAGGACCUCACUAUUGCACUAUUCAUCCUUACUGAGUCCCAUGGUUUUUUGGUUGGUUUGUUCGUUUUACUUUUGUCUUUGUCUUUUUAGGGCCUCACCUGUGGCAUAUGGAGGUUCCCAGGCUAGGGGUCUAAUCAAAGCUGUUGCCACCGGCCUAUGCCACAGCCACAGCAAUGCCAGAUCUGAGCCGCAUCUGUGACCUACACCACAGCUCACGGCAACGCUGGAACCUUAACCCACUAAGCGAGGCCAGGGAUCGAACCCAAAACCUCAUGGUUCCUAGUCAGAUUAAUUUCCACUGUGCCACAAGGGGAACUCCGAGUCCUACAGUUUUAAAACAGUCGAUGAGGGAGUUCCCUUCAUGGCUCAGAAGUUAACAAACCCGACUAGGAUCCAUGAGGAUGUAGGUUCCAGCUCUGGCCUCGCUCAUUGGGUUAAGCAUUCAGCAUUGCCAUGAGCUGUGUCAUAGCUCCAAUUUGACCCCUCGCCUGGGAACUUCCAUAUGUGGAGGGCGAGGCCCUAAAAAAGCUAAAUAAAUGAAUGAAUGAAUGAAUGAAUGAAUGAAAC